Molecule: long non-coding RNA, 1005 nt
Organism: Hordeum vulgare subsp. vulgare (domesticated barley)
Lineage: Eukaryota; Viridiplantae; Streptophyta; Magnoliopsida; Poales; Poaceae
Exons: 4
Source: RefSeq, a predicted model, not a curated record
UUAUCCCUCUCUGUUCGCUCAACAGGAACCUGUAGAAACACAUGGAUGGCCCCAAUAGCUCCUCGUCAGCGAACCUCUGGCUGCCCUAAGGAUUGGGUCGCCCCGCGUUGCUCCUCAACCUGUCAUUUUUCUCUUCCCUCUUCCUCCCCCUGCUCUAACCUUCGUUGUUGCUGCCUUCCUCUGCAGGAACCGCGCCGGGAUGCUGCCGCCCAUGGCGCUCCCGUUGUGCUGGCCCGUCGUUGAACUUUUUCCGCCGCCCCGUCAUUGAACUUUUUCCGCAGUGGUGUCUCUCUGUCAAGCGAGCUGGACUACGCUCGAGCUGCUCCCUGUCGUGCGCCAGGUCGGCCACGCACAGGCCUAGUGAGUCCAAGACGACCUCCAUUGCAGAUGGGCCAAGCCCCGCUUGAUUUUUUCUUCUUAAUAGAGUGUCCAAAGCGUUUGGAGUGAGGAUUCAUUCGACUACAUUGGUUUGUCUUCUUCAUGGAUUCAUUGUUCUUCCAAACGGGAUCACAAGCAAGAUGAUCAUUUCCCUAGGAUGGGUUCUAGGCCGACAGCUUGGGAUAGCAAGGAUGGACGUCGUUUUUCUCGUUUGAUUUCGCCGUUGCCGGACCCUGCUCUUCUACAUGGUGACUGAAUGUAUUGAUGUAUUGUGAUGUUCAUGAUUAGCUUGUGGCGAGUGUAAUCCAAUUCCAUAUACUCAUAUCUUUUGUACAUGUAGUUGUAACAAUAUCCAUUCCUUCAAAACAACGAGAUGCACUUUCAUCCCUAUCGAGGCCUUCGUGCAAAAAUAAGGAUUAUGAUGGCUUCCUAAAUCUCUCUGAUCCAUUGAAAUAGUAUGGCCAACUAGAUUGACAUUUCUUCAGUGAGAGGGGUGUGUUAUAGCCGGCUCAAUCUAACGGGUUUCUAUAUCCUUGUAACAGAAGGAGAAGAGAUACAUCUUUGUAUGUUUUCCACUAUGGAUAAAUCAAUGGGGUUAAUCCAUAUUGAUGGAGUUCUCUUUGUCUA